GCGGCUUUAGCUCACUUGGGAGAGCGCCAGACUGAAGUCCACUUCUGUUUCUAUUCGAGCAUCAUGCGAUGUCGAGUUUAUCUGGAGGCACUGUGUUCGAUCCACAGAAGCCGCA
Molecule: transfer RNA, 115 nt
Filed under: Botrytis cinerea
Lineage: Eukaryota; Fungi; Ascomycota; Leotiomycetes; Helotiales; Sclerotiniaceae
Also listed under: 1 other name
Description: tRNA-Phe
Rfam family: tRNA
About the family: Transfer RNA (tRNA) molecules are approximately 80 nucleotides in length. Their secondary structure includes four short double-helical elements and three loops (D, anti-codon, and T loops).
Source: RNAcentral